This 681-nucleotide ribosomal RNA is filed under the name Lactiplantibacillus plantarum. Its description in RNAcentral is "bacterial SSU rRNA". It matches the Rfam family "Bacterial small subunit ribosomal RNA", at positions 60 to 706 of the family's 1533-position model. The record is from RNAcentral. Lineage: Bacteria; Bacillati; Bacillota; Bacilli; Lactobacillales; Lactobacillaceae.
AGUCGAACGAACUCUGGUAUUGAUUGGUGCUUGCAUCAUGAUUUACAUUUGAGUUAGUGGCGAACUGGUGAGUAACACGUGGGAAACCUGCCCAGAAGCGGGGGAUAACACCUGGAAACAGAUGCUAAUACCGCAUAACAACUUGGACCGCAUGGUCCGAGCUUGAAAGAUGGCUUCGGCUAUCACUUUUGGAUGGUCCCGCGGCGUAUUAGCUAGAUGGUGGGGUAACGGCUCACCAUGGCAAUGAUACGUAGCCGACCUGAGAGGGUAAUCGGCCACAUUGGGACUGAGACACGGCCCAAACUCCUACGGGAGGCAGCAGUAGGGAAUCUUCCACAAUGGACGAAAGUCUGAUGGAGCAACGCCGCGUGAGUGAAGAAGGGUUUCGGCUCGUAAAACUCUGUUGUUAAAGAAGAACAUAUCUGAGAGUAACUGUUCAGGUAUUGACGGUAUUUAACCAGAAAGCCACGGCUAACUACGUGCCAGCAGCCGCGGUAAUACGUAGGUGGCAAGCGUUGUCCGGAUUUAUUGGGCGUAAAGCGAGCGCAGGCGGUUUUUUAAGUCUGAUGUGAAAGCCUUCGGCUCAACCGAAGAAGUGCAUCGGAAACUGGGAAACUUGAGUGCAGAAGAGGACAGUGGAACUCCAUGUGUAGCGGUGAAAUGCGUAGAUAUAUGGAAGAA